GAAAUUGAAACUUAUGCCAAGGCCUCUUCAGGCUAGAGAUAUUAUGUCCAAAAGAAUAUCAUGGUGCAUGUUGCUGCUGCGACAGACGAUUCUUGAUGUCGUGAAACAGGACCAUAAUGCAUAAAACGAAAUGAAUGUUUGAGAGAAAUGACUUGUGAGAGCAAUUUACAGCAUUUACAGUCUCAAUGAAGCAUGAACACUUGAUUAUAUUGCCUUCUCAGUUUUCACCA
Molecule: unclassified non-coding RNA, 230 nt
Filed under: Hevea brasiliensis (rubber tree)
Lineage: Eukaryota; Viridiplantae; Streptophyta; Magnoliopsida; Malpighiales; Euphorbiaceae
Source: RNAcentral